GCGCCUAUAGCUCAAUUGGAUAGAGCAAUUGACUACGGAUCAAUAGGUUGUGGGUUCAACUCCUGCUAGGCGCGCCA
This 77-nucleotide transfer RNA is filed under the name Firmicutes bacterium GWE2_51_13. RNAcentral's name for it is "tRNA-Arg". It matches the Rfam family "tRNA". From Rfam's summary of the family: Transfer RNA (tRNA) molecules are approximately 80 nucleotides in length. Their secondary structure includes four short double-helical elements and three loops (D, anti-codon, and T loops). RNAcentral also lists the same sequence under 2 other names. Lineage: Bacteria; Bacillati; Bacillota. The record is from RNAcentral.